Molecule: transfer RNA, 59 nt
Filed under: Felis catus (domestic cat)
Lineage: Eukaryota; Metazoa; Chordata; Mammalia; Carnivora; Felidae
Source: Rfam by way of RNAcentral
ACCUCGGUGGCUCAGUAGGUUGAGCACCUGACUUUGGCUCAGGUCAUGAUCUCGAGGUU